RNAcentral lists this ribosomal RNA (564 nucleotides) under Oreolalax sterlingae. RNAcentral describes it as "partial 16S ribosomal RNA". It matches the Rfam family "Bacterial large subunit ribosomal RNA", at positions 1811 to 2605 of the family's 2925-position model. Lineage: Eukaryota; Metazoa; Chordata; Amphibia; Anura; Megophryidae. The record is from RNAcentral.
AAACAUCGCCUUUUGAACACUAUAAAAGGUAACGCCUGCCCAGUGACAAUUUGUUUAACGGCCGCGGUAUUCUGACCGUGCGAAGGUAGCGUAAUCACUUGUCUUUUAAAUAAAGACUAGUAUGAAUGGCAUCACGAGGACUUAACUGUCUCCCCCCUCCAAUCAGUGAAACUGAUUUCCCCGUACAAAAGCGUGGAUAAAUACAUAAGACGAGAAGACCCUAUGGAGCUUAAAACCAAAAACCACUUGUUUAACCUACUACAUUAAUGUAAUACUAAAAUAACAAGCCUUGUCCAGGUUUUUAGUUGGGGUGACUGUGGAGAAAAAUAAAUCCUCCAUGUAGACUUAAGCUUUGAGUUACCACUCUAUGUAUUAGCAAGCCUAACUUCACUUGAUCCAAUAAUUUGAUCAACGGACCAAGUUACCCUAGGGAUAACAGCGCAAUCCAUUUCAAGAGUCCAUAUCGACAAAUGGGUUUACGACCUCGAUGUUGGAUUAGGACAUCCAAGUGGUGCAGCCGCUGCUAAGGGUUCGUUUGUUCAACGAUUAAAGUCCUACGUGAUC